Long non-coding RNA from Capsicum annuum, 6392 nucleotides. RefSeq lists it as uncharacterized. Lineage: Eukaryota; Viridiplantae; Streptophyta; Magnoliopsida; Solanales; Solanaceae. The transcript has 2 exons. The record is from RefSeq and is a predicted model, not a curated record.
UACCGCAUAACAGCAACUACAUUACCCAGCGGUAACAACAACCAACAAGUCAAACUAGCCGUUUCCCCUCCAUUUACCAAUUUAGCCUCUCACUACAACCAUCUAUGGCUAAAAUCGGACGGUCUUUCACCAUUUUCAGCUGGUGAUUAAUUUCCUUCUUCUUCUGCGGAAUGUCUUUCUCUGUCUCUCUCAAAUUCAAUGACACAAGGCCUUUACUGCCCUUUGUCUUACUAUGGACCUGAAAUUGUCCAAGAAAUCAAUCCCAAAAUUUGGAUUUGAAAUCCACUCUUUCAAAACCCUAGCUUCCCCUAGAAAUAUAUAGUGAGGGAUAAGGGUGAAGGAGGGGAUUCUUUGGGAAAAAUUCGAGAUUCUGGAGGACCGUUUCUCUAAUCUCACGUUAACCAAAGAAUUCAAGAAGAAAUUCUACCGAAAAAUCAAUUCCUACAUAAAAUUGUAACUCCGAUGAAAACAAAGCAAAUUUUGGUGGAAUUUUGUUCAACUAAAAGAGCUCAUCGUCCCGGUUCCUGCUCCCCAAAAGCAUGUUUUAAAAGAGCUUUGCUCCAUUCGUCAGAGGCGGCCGACUUCUUGCUUAAGGGACAUGACGCUGAACCACCAUGCCAACUCUAGUGGUUGAGCCUAGCAGUUUAAUAACUCAAAAUAGUCUCUUUUUAUUUUCCCUUUGAUGGUUUUUGUUAGAGCAUUAAUGAGUUGUUUUUGUCUUUCUCUGUAUUUAACUAGAAUGUCAUUUUGACAUACCAGCUAGGAAAUUUCUUAUCUCUUAUGGCUAAUAGAUGAAGGGGAGCCUUGCAGUAACUGGUAAAGUUGCUGCCAUGUGACCAAGAGGUCACGGGUUCAAGCCUUGGAAACAACCUCUAGCAGAAAUGCAAGGUAAGGCUGCGUACGAUACACUCUUGUGGUGGGGCUCUUCUCAGGACACCGCACAUAGCGGUAGUUUUAGUGCACCGGGCUGCCCUUUUAUGGCUAAUAGAUAAAAUGAAUUUAGUUUGUCCAGUUGUGUGAGUUUCUUAUGUACUUUUGCAUGAUUAUGCACAUCUUAUUUGGAAAAGUCGUCUAAGUAUUCCUACUAAUUCUCCUUUUCUCCUCUUUUGACCAUGAAACUGCUUGAGACGAGUAGGUAUGAAAUAUAAACUCGAAUCUUGGUUCUAUGUUUGUAGUUGGUGAUAUCUUAAGCUAGCGAUUUCUUUCCAAAGUCUUGUCUCCUUCUAAGCUUAAAACUAGUUAUUCUUGGAGGGUUGCUUAGCAGCUUUCCUUUUGUACUCUUCGGACAUGUGAAUGAUUAUUAGAACCAAGGCUAAGCUUUAGCUUGUGUUGACAAAAGUCUGCCUAGAAAAUUAGUAUGCUAAUAUCUCCUAGAAAGAAUAGCCUCUUCUUGAUUUAUGAUAAAUUGGUUUAAUUGUUCUUGCCUCAAAAUAGAUUAAUGGUCAUUAUUUGGUAGUUUUGUUUACGAUUUUCUCCAAAAUCAUUUGUUUUUCUCUUUGUUUUGAUGCAUGAACUCCUUCGUCCGAGUCCAAUUAGACUCCAUACCCAUGCAUCUAUCUAGGUUCAACUCCCAAAAAUUCCCAAAGGGAUUAGUGUGAAGAAACAUGACAGAUAUGCAUUGAUAUACAACCAAUAUACGGAAUUUACAGGUUAUAUGUUUCUGGUAUAUGCCAGUAUAUGGCGAAUAACAACAUUGGAAGCGAUGAUAUCAUUUUUUAUACAUUUAUAUACAGUGUGUAUGAAGAAAAUGUAGUACCAACAAGUCUUAUAUGCAGUCAAUAUACAGAUGGGUAUACACUGCAGAAAUGGACGAAAAAUCCAUAAAGAAUAGGCCCAAAGCUGGCCAGAUUUGAAAAGGGCCCAAAUUUUUAUUCUUCUUAUAUAUUUCCUGGUAAACCUUAUUUGAUUAUGUGUUUGUAUUAAGUUCUUAAUUUGGUUAGCCUUUAUAAAUCCCAAAUCGUUAUUUUUGUUUGUCUCUGUAUUUUUUGUUUGCAUAUUUUUAUUACGUAGCGUAAUGUUCAAAAUUUUAAAAAACAUAUCUUUCUUUACAUUUUCCCUUAGAACGAACUCUUAAAAAUCAAAAUGACAUUUUAUUAAAGUAGUUUAUUUAAGGUAGAGAGAAUUCUCAUAAACCUAAAAUCAAUUUUCUUUGCAAAAGAUAAAAACAUUUUCACUAAUUAGCCAAAAUUCAUAAUUUGUUUAAAGUGAUAUUUUUCUGUUAAGAUAGAUAUUUUUGUUAUAAAAAUGAUCUUCAAAAAUCUCCCUUUUAUUUGAAAAAUAAUUUAUAAAGGAAAUGUGUUUUAACUCAUCCUUCUUUAUAGAAAAUUUUACUCAAAUUAAAUGAGACUAAUUUUUGCUUAGGUCAUUUUAGGUCUUAAAAAAUAGUACUGCCUCCGUUUCGAAAUAAAUGAAUUGUUGGAUUUUGGCACACAGAUUAAGAAAAAAAUCAUCAAAAACAUUAAUUUAACAUAAAUUUUCAUUUUUACCCUUGAAGUCGCUUUUACCCAAAAAAAAGAAAAAACUGACCUUGGUAAUGCUAUUGGCUGCAGUCUCUUUUGCUUGUUAAAUCAUAAGGGUAAUUUUGAAAAAAAAUUCAACGAUUCAUUUAUUUUGGAACACAAAUAAAUAUCCCACCAAUUCAUUUAUUUCGAAACGGAGGGAGUAAAUAAAUAAUUUGUUGAGUUAAAGUUAGUAUUUUUAUAAAAUCAACUGCCUUGCAAAGUUAGUCAUUUUUAUAUUAGUCAAAAAUUAUGUUUUGGUGAACCGUUUUAAACAGACGCUCCUAAGUGCCUUAAAAACCUUCUUAGGACGUUAAUUGAACCCCUACUCAGCUUCUCCUAUUUCAAAGAAUUAUUUCUAUUUUUUAAUCUUUGAAAUCUCUGUAAAGUUUUUUUGAUAUUUUCUAUAAAAAUCAAGUGGCGACUCUAUAAUUUUUUUCAAAAUUAUUUCAAAUUUUUUUGAAUUUUUUGAAAUAGUUUGGAAGAGGCCAAAACCAUUUUCUUAAAAAUAAAAUUUGAAAAAAGGAUAAAACAAAAAUGACAACUCUGCUGGGCAUUUGACUAGGUUCUAACCAAAUGUGGGAACUAACUUCUUUGACUAACUAUUCGGGUUGUAAUAUUUAAACUAUUUGUCUACUUAUGUGUUUAAAUUUACACAAAAUUUAAAUUGUUGCAUUUCAUGGCAUACUUCCACAUUCAAAAUAUAUAAAUUGUUUGGAGUUUCGUGGAUGUCCCGGCUCCUAUUGUUCAAUUUCAAAUCAAGUGUUAGUAACAAGUUAGCUUAUUGGCACGUUGGGCGUUCGAUGACUAUUUGUAUUUCCAAACCCAAGUCGUUCGCUUGGGAACCUGGUUAAAGCCCACUGUAUACACUCAGGAUAGAACAAUAUCAAAACCCUAUUUUAGGCAUGAGCCUAGGACAACUCAAUACCCGAGGGAGUAUUGGGCUCAUUUGAAAACCUACCCUGCAUCUAUUGGCCAUGAACCAAUUACAGACAAAUCAUGUUUGUGUGUUAAAAAAAUAUGUCUGUUUAAUCCAAUCAAUUAUUUUUAGGGUAGGGAAAAGAUUUAAUUUUAUUUACUUUCGUGUAGUAAUGGCUCAACCAUACCCCUGCAAAAGAUUCAAGAUGUUACCGACUUGGUAACUUCUUGAAAGUAUAGUGGACUCAUAUGAGUGGAAAAGAUAAGGAGAUUGUUAGUACACAUAUUAGGCAUCUACUAUUGCUUAAAGAGAUGGACGCUUGGCCUUAAAUGAUCCAUGUGCCAACAAUAUUUUAGGAUGAUGAAAACAUGGUGUUUCUUUUCGGGGAAGUCAAAUUGACCCCACCAUUGAAGAAACAAUGAAUUGUUAUGAGAGCAUCGAUAGAUCUAGGAAAAGAAGGAGUGAGCCCGACAAAAGCAUUCUAAUCCCUAUUGUAUGGAACUGUCAGGAGAUCAAGGAUGCCUUUUCAAUCAAUGAUGAUACCUGGUUGGGGGAACAUGAUGGAGAUAACAUACCUUUUCGUGAGUUGUAUCGCCGGUUUGAAAGGUUUAAUGCUUUUGAAAAAUUUGGACAUAAAUUUGAAUUGGAGUCAAAAUGGAGGGAGAAAAGAGCAUUUGCUUUCACCGUGAGCUUGCUUGGAACUAUGGUAUUCCCACAAGGAAAAAAUGACACCAUUCAUCCAAGAGUCAUUACGGUGAUGCAUGCCCUCUUCUACGGAGUAGAUUGCAAAACCACUAAAUUAUUCCAUACUUUAGCUCCCAUGAUCGUCACUAAAAUAUAUAUGGAACUAGGAAAAUGUCAAAGCAGACACUGUUUCUUCAAGGGGUGUAACCUUAUCUUGCAAUGGUGGAUGAUGAAACAUUUAUUGAAAAAUCCUAGAGUAGAGCAGCCGAACCCUCAGAAAAGGGUAGAUCUUUUAUCAUCGCAUGACAUUUGGCUAUCCUUGCACAGGUUUAAAAGGAUAAAAUCUUUGAGAUUUUGGUUUAAGGUUUUUGGGGAAUUGAGAGAGGACAACGUCUAGUGUUCUAUAAGAUAUCUUCGCCUAGGGAAGUACAUCACUCGAGAAAAUGAAUGGCAUUUUUAGUACUUUCAGGUCUCAGAGGAACUCGUUCUUAUAAUUCUGAGAGGGUUCUUAGGCAAUUCGAGAUCAAGUAGGAAACACCGCAAACAGUGUCAAAGGUUAAAUUCAUCACACAGUAUAAAUAAGGUGCAAACCCACUCAAAAAGUACAUCGUAGAUGGGUAGAGGAGAAGAUAAGACAAAGGAAGUAUCCUUUCGUAUAGGGUAUGAAACCGAGGUUAGUGAUACCUACAAAAAGUGCUUGAAGAAGAAUCUUGUCGGAACAUUGGUCCCGAGGUCAAAUGUACCCACACAAAUCAUUGAUGUAGAAUCAAAACAUCAGAUUUGGCUCCACAAGCUUCAGGAUGAACUCCAAGGAAGUGAGAUUGUGCACCAGCAGAUGCAUAUGGAGGAUGCCUCAACUAUACACCAAUUGAGAGAAGAGUUAAAGAGAGCGAGGCAAGAGAUUGAUGAUGCAAGGCAGUGUUUGCUUGAUUUGGAUAAUCACAUGGCUUCUCAACUUGAUUGCAUAGGGAAGAUGACCUACGACAAUAAAUAAAGCACAAUUAUGCAGGAGCCACCUGGUCAUACAAAUAUCACAUAUGGAAAAAAGUAGAUAAAGCCAAGAAGGCAAAGGCCUAUGAAGGAGCAUCUAGGAGUUAAUUUUCUAUCCCCUGUGCGGGACUUUGUUCCUGUCAUUUUUCUUUUCCCUAAAGAUUGUAUCCCUUUAUGCAACUUUUGUAAAUAUUUAUGACCUUCCUUUUAUAUAUAUGUGGAGAUUUUUGGGGGAUAAUUGAUUGGUUUAAAAGAAAUAUAUUUCCUUCAAAUUCGCUAUACCAAACCUUGGCUCAAAAGGGUCACCCAAUUAGGACACGCUAUUUAUUUUUUUAUUAUUGUGUGAUAUAACUGUAUUAUGUGAUAUAACUGUUUAUGUUCUUAUAUGCAUUGUUAAAUCAAAGAUAAAUUGAUCUACUCUUCAACAAAGUCUUAGAAACCCUUUAGGCAAAAUAUGCGCUUUUUAUCCGAAGUCUGCCCAAAAUAUUUCGAGUCGUCAAGUCUCUUAGAAAGUCCUCAAUCAUUUUCGUUAGCUUUCUUUUUAAAUAUAUUCUUAUUCUUUAGGAAGAUCUGUCAUGGAUUCAAGGACCAUACAACUGAAAAGACGGGAUAGUGGAGUUAGCCCAAGUGGAGGAGAUGCAAAACAAAAAAGAUCAAGAGACUGAUUAGGAGGGUUGGUCAGGCCAACAAGGAAAUUACUGUAGUCAAGCAAUUGAUCGCGCAAGAAAAUAAGAAGUUUGAGUAAGCUCCACCUUCAAACUUAAGAGAAGACCACUGGGCCAAGAUUAAAGGAGAUGCCUUUUGUCCAACUAGGAUCAAGUUGGAAUGUUAAAAGAUCACUCUCAGAGCUCACUUCAGAGGAUACUUUCGAUGUCCCCAGAUCGUGACAUGCUCGGCAGUUUACCAAAUCUUAAGAGAUAUAAGAGUCCUCUACCCUGAUCAAACAGAAGGAUUUUGACUGCUUUUCUGAAGAUGCUCAUAAGAAAUGUUAUUAUAAUCCAAAUCAAUGUGGUCAUACCGCUGAUGAGUCUCUUGCUCUGAAGACCAGGAUUUGCAACCUAAUCUGCAACGGCCAAAUAAAUAAUUUGUGGGGACCACAAGCCAUUCUCUAUUGCGAUCAAGUUGAUCUAGGCAUGCCCAUAACCAAUGACGUGCAGAUUUAUAAAUAUAACUUCACAAGGUUUGAAGAUACCUACCAUGAAAUCUAUUACAGCUCAUCCAUGCUAAAAUUCUUGAACCAGUGGAAAGGAAGCCUAAUACGAUGUCUAAGGCUUUGGAAGAAAUUCAGAGAGGUUUGUCAC